Molecule: ribosomal RNA, 718 nt
Filed under: Enterobacter hormaechei
Lineage: Bacteria; Pseudomonadati; Pseudomonadota; Gammaproteobacteria; Enterobacterales; Enterobacteriaceae
Description: bacterial SSU rRNA
Rfam family: Bacterial small subunit ribosomal RNA
Source: RNAcentral
GGCAGGCCUAACACAUGCAAGUCGAACGGUAACAGGAAGCAGCUUGCUGCUUCGCUGACGAGUGGCGGACGGGUGAGUAAUGUCUGGGAAACUGCCUGAUGGAGGGGGAUAACUACUGGAAACGGUAGCUAAUACCGCAUAACGUCGCAAGACCAAAGAGGGGGGACCUUCGGGCCUCUUGCCAUCGGAUGUGCCCAGAUGGGAUUAGCUAGUAGGUGGGGUAACGGCUCACCUAGGCGACGAUCCCUAGCUGGUCUGAGAGGAUGACCAGCCACACUGGAACUGAGACACGGUCCAGACUCCUACGGGAGGCAGCAGUGGGGAAUAUUGCACAAUGGGCGCAAGCCUGAUGCAGCCAUGCCGCGUGUAUGAAGAAGGCCUUCGGGUUGUAAAGUACUUUCAGCGGGGAGGAAGGCGAUAAGGUUAAUAACCUUGUCGAUUGACGUUACCCGCAGAAGAAGCACCGGCUAACUCCGUGCCAGCAGCCGCGGUAAUACGGAGGGUGCAAGCGUUAAUCGGAAUUACUGGGCGUAAAGCGCACGCAGGCGGUCUGUCAAGUCGGAUGUGAAAUCCCCGGGCUCAACCUGGGAACUGCAUUCGAAACUGGCAGGCUAGAGUCUUGUAGAGGGGGGUAGAAUUCCAGGUGUAGCGGUGAAAUGCGUAGAGAUCUGGAGGAAUACCGGUGGCGAAGGCGGCCCCCUGGACAAAGACUGACGCU